GACGAACGCUGGCGGCGUGCUUAACACAUGCAAGUCGAACGCUGAAGCCCAGCUUUUGUUGGGUGGAUGAGUGGCGAACGGGUGAGUAACACGUGAGUAACCUGCCCCCUUCUUUGGGAUAACGCCCGGAAACGGGUGCUAAUACGGGAUAUUCACUGGUCUUCGCAUGGGGGUUGGUGGAAAGGGUUUUUCUGGUGGGGGAUGGGCUCGCGGCCUAUCAGGUUGUUGGUGGGGUGAUGGCCUAGCAAGGCUUUGACGGGUAGCCGGCCUGGGAGGGUGACCGGUCAGAUUGGGACUGAGGUCAGGCCCAGACUGAUACGGGAGGCAGCAGUGGGGAGUAUUGAGCAAUGGGGGCAAGUCUGAUGCAGCGACGACGCGUGAGCGAUGGAGGCGUUCGGGUUGUGAACCUCUUUCGCUCAUGGUCCAGCCGCAACAAUGGUUGUGGUGAGGGUAGUGGGUAAAGAAGCGCCGGCUAACUACGUG
Molecule: ribosomal RNA, 483 nt
Filed under: uncultured bacterium
Lineage: Bacteria
Description: partial 16S ribosomal RNA
Rfam family: Bacterial small subunit ribosomal RNA
Source: RNAcentral